UACGUAGGGUGCAAGCGUUAAUCGGAAUUACUGGGCGUAAAGCGUGCGCAGGCGGUUCUAUAAGACAGAUGUGAAAUCCCCGGGCUCAACCUGGGAACUGCAUUUGUGACUGGCAGGCUUUGAGUGUGGCAGAGGGAGGUAGAAUUCCACGUGUAGCAGUGAAAUGCGUAGAGAUGUGGAGGAAUACCGAUGGCGAAGGCAGCCUCCUGGGCCAACACUGACGCUCAUGCACGAAAGCGUGGGGAGCAAACAGG
This 254-nucleotide ribosomal RNA is filed under the name uncultured bacterium. RNAcentral's name for it is "partial 16S ribosomal RNA". It matches the Rfam family "Bacterial small subunit ribosomal RNA", at positions 524 to 776 of the family's 1533-position model. The record is from RNAcentral.